UUUCUACCAUUUAAUUCUCGCUCAAAUUUUUUGGAUAUUAAUUUCCACUCAAAUCUCCCUCCAAUUCCACUAUAUAUUUGUUUCCCCCUCAAUUCUCCCUCCAUUUCCUUGGCUUACUCAUUCGCCAUCAACAUUAAAAUGAAUAGAAAUUUUCUUUGUUGUAGUCCCUGUGUCAACAUAAUACUCCAGUACCUUGUGAUAUUGUUGUUGUUACCUUCUCCCCCUCCCACCACUAUCAGAGUUUGACCUUUGGGGGAUCAUUGACAAUGCAAGGCACAUCUGUUCUUCAAUUAACCCCCUCUUGACACUGUCACUUUUAUAGACUCCAUCAUUCUAUUCCAACACCAUUGCUAUUUCUCUACUCCAUUACCUUUGCUUAGUGAUUACAGAGUGCAUGAAUUUCAAAAGUGACAAGGAUAGGAUUGAAUAGUGUGCAAAUGUAGGCCUCAUCUCUUUCAUCCAAACCUAAUUUUUUCGUCAAUACCCGUGCAAGGGAAUUUCAUAAUGAUGCUGAUGAAAAAACUUGAUUUUUACAUAUGGUAACCAUCUCACGUUGUCAAUUUGUUAUACCCAAAUUGGGUCAGAUGUGAUUUCAGGUUGGUGUUAAUAGGUGGAUGCACAAACAGUUCUAUAAUCUAAGUCCUGCAUUACUUCCCCUCCCCUAAAAGUCGGUUUCUGGUUAAAUGUCGAUGUUGCAAGAAACUAGCAAGUUAACUGUAUGGGUAUCAAUUUCGUCUUUUAUUUCAAAAUUCAGGUGCAGGUGCCUAAGCCACUUAAGUGUAGAGUCAUUUAAAAUGCAGUGGCACCAUUGGUUGUUUCAAACAACUCAUUUUUUUUA
Molecule: long non-coding RNA, 838 nt
Organism: Lactuca sativa (garden lettuce)
Lineage: Eukaryota; Viridiplantae; Streptophyta; Magnoliopsida; Asterales; Asteraceae
Source: RefSeq, a predicted model, not a curated record